GGCCCCGUAGCUCAGAGGAUAGAGCAGCGGUUUCCUAAACCGUGUGUCGGACGUUCGAAUCGUCUCGGGGCUGCCA
Molecule: transfer RNA, 76 nt
Filed under: Bacillota bacterium
Lineage: Bacteria; Bacillati; Bacillota
Also listed under: 1 other name
Description: Firmicutes bacterium (anaerobic digester metagenome) tRNA-Arg
Rfam family: tRNA
About the family: Transfer RNA (tRNA) molecules are approximately 80 nucleotides in length. Their secondary structure includes four short double-helical elements and three loops (D, anti-codon, and T loops). Further hydrogen bonds mediate the characteristic L-shaped molecular structure. tRNAs have two regions of fundamental functional importance: the anti-codon, which is responsible for specific mRNA codon recognition, and the 3' end, to which the tRNAs corresponding amino acid is attached (by aminoacyl-tRNA synthetases). tRNAs cope with the degeneracy of the genetic code in two manners: having more than one tRNA (with a specific anti-codon) for a particular amino acid; and 'wobble' base-pairing, i.e. permitting non-standard base-pairing at the 3rd anti-codon position.
Source: RNAcentral